Molecule: long non-coding RNA, 446 nt
Filed under: Vombatus ursinus (common wombat)
Lineage: Eukaryota; Metazoa; Chordata; Mammalia; Diprotodontia; Vombatidae
Description: lncRNA (ENSVURG00010007955.1)
Source: RNAcentral
CAGUUACACUCUCCUUCUGAAACUAGCCAAGGGAUGGGAUUGUCUUAUGCCUGGACUGUGAUUUCCUUCCCUCUUCUCUCCUCCCCCUCUUUCCCUGCUGAUCCCAGCUAGAGCUCGAGAACAAGGCAGCAGCUGAGCGAGAUGGAUCAGGCCAGGCCCUCCGUCAAUCACUAAGCAUCAGUGUCCCUUGGACACCGAGGAGAACUGCAGAAGGAGGAAGAGGAAUGCCCUAUCUUUGCCCCCGGGGAAGCUCCUUGACCACACAUCCAAUCCUCAGAUAGAGACAGAGAAGUGACAUCAAGCCUCCCAUUGGGGCCCUCCAAAGAGUUGCCACUGCUGAAAGCUUCCCCACUCCCCUUCCAGCCUGGCCUAGGACCUUCUGGAAGAGAAGUUGAGACAGAAAACAGGGCUGGACCAAUGCUAUCACUAGAUACCAUCAAAGUCCC